GAUCAUAGCUCAGGAUGAACGUUGGCGGCGUGCUUAACACAUGCAAGUCGAGCGAAGCACUUUACUUGGAUUUCUUCGGAAUGACGAGUAUUGUGACUGAGCGGCGGACGGGUGAGUAACGCGUGGGUAACCUGCCUCAUACAGGGGAUAACAGUUAGAAAUGACUGCUAAUACCGCAUAAGACCACAGCACCGCAUGGUGCAGGGGUAAAAACUCCGGUGGUAUGAGAUGGACCCGCG
Molecule: ribosomal RNA, 239 nt
Filed under: uncultured bacterium
Lineage: Bacteria
Description: partial 16S ribosomal RNA
Rfam family: Bacterial small subunit ribosomal RNA
Source: RNAcentral